GCCGGGCGUGGUGGUGCAUGCCUGUAGUCCCAGCUACUCAGGAGGCCGAGGCAGGAGAAUCGCUUGAACCCAGGAGGCAGAGGUUGCAGUGAGCCGAGAUUGUGCCACUGCACUCCAGCCUGGGCGACAGAGUGAGACUCUGUCUCAA
RNAcentral lists this non-coding RNA (148 nucleotides) under Nomascus leucogenys (northern white-cheeked gibbon). Lineage: Eukaryota; Metazoa; Chordata; Mammalia; Primates; Hylobatidae. The record is from Rfam by way of RNAcentral.